This is a non-coding RNA of Zootermopsis nevadensis, 138 nucleotides long. The record is from RefSeq and is a predicted model, not a curated record. NCBI's taxonomy places the organism in Eukaryota, Metazoa, Arthropoda, Insecta, Blattodea, Termopsidae.
UCAGACUCACUACCGUGAAAACCUCAGAUCCUGAAAUUUGGUGCAACGGUUAUCCUGUGUGCUUGCCUGUGUGGUAGGAAGCAGCUUUGCAUAUGCAGGAUGCUUACACGGGCACAACAUACACCGUCAGUGGCCGCA